ACAUCGCCUCUUGAACAAAAAUAAGAGGUCCAGCCUGCCCAGUGACAAAUGUUCAACGGCCGCGGUAUCCUAACCGUGCGAAGGUAGCGUAAUCACUUGUUCUUUAAAUGAGGACUAGUAUGAAUGGCACCACGAGGGUUAUACUGUCUCCUCCAUCCAAUCAGUGAAACUAAUCUCCCCGUGAAGAAGCGGGGAUAUUACUAUAAGACGAGAAGACCCUAUGGAGCUUUAAACUUCCCUUCAAACGCUAAAUACCUUUUAACAAGUCACUGACUUUAUUACAUAUACCCAAGCGUCCUGACGGCGACUUUUAGGUUGGGGUGACCGCGGAGCACAAAACAACCUCCAUGAUGAACAGCUUUUUUAAGCCUUGAACAAAGGGCUACAACCCAAUGUACUAAAAAACUAACACUCAUUGACCCAAUAUAUUUUGACCAACGAACCAAGUUACCCUAGGGAUAACAGCGCAAUCUACUUCAAGAGUCCCUAUCGACAAGUGGGUUUACGACCUCGAUGUUGGAUCAGGGUAUCCCAGUGGUGCAGCCGCUACUAAUGGUUCGUUUGUUC
Molecule: ribosomal RNA, 567 nt
Filed under: Scinax ictericus
Lineage: Eukaryota; Metazoa; Chordata; Amphibia; Anura; Hylidae
Description: partial large subunit ribosomal RNA
Rfam family: Bacterial large subunit ribosomal RNA
Source: RNAcentral